RNAcentral lists this ribosomal RNA (253 nucleotides) under uncultured bacterium. RNAcentral describes it as "partial 16S ribosomal RNA". It matches the Rfam family "Bacterial small subunit ribosomal RNA", at positions 524 to 776 of the family's 1533-position model. The record is from RNAcentral.
UACGUAGGGUGCGAGCGUUGUCCGGAAUUACUGGGCGUAAAGAGCUCGUAGGUGGUUUGUCGCGUUGUCCGUGAAAACUCACAGCUCAACUGUGGGCGUGCGGGCGAUACGGGCAGACUGGAGUACUGCAGGGGAGACUGGAAUUCCUGGUGUAGCGGUGGAAUGCGCAGAUAUCAGGAGGAACACCGGUGGCGAAGGCGGUUCUCUGGGCAUGACCUGACGCUGAGGAGCGAAAGUGUGGGGAGCGAACAGG